Molecule: ribosomal RNA, 424 nt
Filed under: uncultured bacterium
Lineage: Bacteria
Description: bacterial SSU rRNA
Rfam family: Bacterial small subunit ribosomal RNA
Source: RNAcentral
GAAUAUUGGACAAUGGGGGCAACCCUGAUCCAGCAAUGCCGCGUGUGUGAAGAAGGCCUGCGGGUUGUAAAGCACUUUCAGAGGGGAAGAAAAAAUCGGAUCCAACACAUCCGAUCUUGACGUUACCCUUAGAAGAAGCACCGGCUAACUCCGUGCCAGCAGCCGCGGUAAUACGGAGGGUGCAAGCGUUAAUCGGAAUUACUGGGCGUAAAGCGCACGUAGGCGGUGUGUUAAGUUGGAUGUGAAAGCCCCGGGCUCAACCUAGGAAUUGCAUUCAAAACUGGCACGCUAGAGUAUGUGAGAGGGGGGUAGAAUUCCAAGUGUAGCGGUGAAAUGCGUAGAGAUUUGGAGGAAUACCAGUGGCGAAGGCGGCCCCCUGGCACAAUACUGACGCUCAGGUGCGAAAGCGUGGGGAGCAAACAGG